AAAGAAGACCCUGUUGAGCUUGACUCUAGUCUGGCAUUGUAAGACGAUAUUGGAGGUGCAGCAUAGGUGGGAGGGCUUCCUUGUGGAGCUCGCCUCUGAGAUACCACCACUCUUACUGUUGCCUUACUUACAUGAUUGGGUGGAACAAGCGCGGACCCCAGGUCCGGAUCGUGCGCGCACCUCCUCCGGGGGGCUGUGGCGGCGGUUCGCCUGCGCGCGCCCAAUGCACCGUGUUUCUCGCUCAGCGUCCAGUUUGUCGCUGGGUGGUGCCGCCGGGGAGACUGCAUCGUAGCAUCGUCGUGUGUAGCGUGUUACCCGCUUGUCCGACCAUGAACCGUGGCCCACAAGGGUACAAGCUUGCGUACGUCGGUGCAUUCGUGGUGCGUUGCUUCUGCGCGGUCGAUCGUUUAUGAUGUCACGUUUGCCCCCGGUUCCGCGCGCCGCCCGGCUCGAAGACUCCUGGACAGGUCCUUUCGGUCCACGUCAUGGACAGUGCCAGGUGCGGAGUUUGACUGGGGCGGUACAUCUCCAAAACGACAACGGAGGUGUCCAAAGGUCAGCUCAGUGUGGACAGAAACCACACGCUGAGCAUAAGGACAAAAGCUGGCUUGAUCCCAACGUUCAGUACACUUUGGGACAGCGAAAGCUUGGCCUUACGAUCCUUUUGGUUAUAACGAGUUUUUAGCAAGAGGUGUCAGAAAAGUUACCACAGGGUAACUGGCUUUUGUUUUAAAUCGAGUGGAUUUUUAU
This 750-nucleotide non-coding RNA is filed under the name Anopheles gambiae (African malaria mosquito). RNAcentral's name for it is "eukaryotic large subunit ribosomal RNA". It matches the Rfam family "Eukaryotic large subunit ribosomal RNA", at positions 2403 to 2872 of the family's 3401-position model. The record is from Rfam by way of RNAcentral. Lineage: Eukaryota; Metazoa; Arthropoda; Insecta; Diptera; Culicidae.